UUAAUUAUCAAUCACCUGAACGCGAAAUUUGGGAUCACUUUAAUCGAAGUAGAUUCUAAUUCUUGAAUCAUUGUUCAUCGAAUCAAUGAAAUUUCUUUGGUGGCACACGUUGAAUUUUAAUCUUGAGAUAAAAAAUUAAGCAAGAAGGUGAUCAUUUUACAGUGUAAGACUCGAAUUGAUGUUUCUGAACAUAACUACUUCAAAGAAAAUGAAUCAAAGGAUUAUCUUUUAGAGUAUACAACUCUUUUAUACCUGUGAACCCUGGCUGACAGAAACAUUCCACUUCCGGAUCAGCUUUUGGAUGAACAAUUUCUCCGUCUUGCACAAAUCUGGUGAGCCUCUUAAAUAACAUUUGCCUUCCGGAUCACCACGGUAACAAUCAACAAUCGCACAGUUGAACACGGGACUGUUA
Molecule: long non-coding RNA, 412 nt
Organism: Megachile rotundata (alfalfa leafcutting bee)
Lineage: Eukaryota; Metazoa; Arthropoda; Insecta; Hymenoptera; Megachilidae
Source: RefSeq, a predicted model, not a curated record